GACGAACGCUGGCGGCGUGCUUAACACAUGCAAGUCGAACGGAAAGGCCCUGCUUUUGUGGGGUGCUCGAGUGGCGAACGGGUGAGUAACACGUGAGUAACCUGCCCUUGACUUUGGGAUAACUUCAGGAAACUGGGGCUAAUACCGGAUCGGAGCUCCUGCUGCAUGGUGGGGGUUGGAAAGUUUCGGCGGUUGGGGAUGGACGCGCGGCUUAUGAGCUUGUUGGUGGGGUAGUGGCUUACCCAGGCAUUGACGGGUAGCCGGCCUGAGAGGGUGAACGGCCACAUUGGGACUGAGAUACGGCCCAGACUCCUACGGGAGGCAGCAGUGGGGAAUAUUGCACAAUGGGCGGAAGCCUGAUGCAGCAACGCCGCGUGCGGGAUGACGGCCUUCGGGUUGUAAACCGCUUUCGCCUGUGACGAAGCGUGAGUGACGGUAAUGGGUAAAGAAGCACCGGCUAACUACGUG
Molecule: ribosomal RNA, 468 nt
Filed under: uncultured bacterium
Lineage: Bacteria
Description: partial 16S ribosomal RNA
Rfam family: Bacterial small subunit ribosomal RNA
Source: RNAcentral